RNAcentral lists this ribosomal RNA (253 nucleotides) under uncultured bacterium. RNAcentral's name for it is "partial 16S ribosomal RNA". It matches the Rfam family "Bacterial small subunit ribosomal RNA", at positions 524 to 776 of the family's 1533-position model. The record is from RNAcentral.
GACAGAGGAUGCAAGCGUUGUCCGGAAUUAUUGGGCGUAAAGAGCUCGUAGGCGGUUUGUCGCGUCUGCCGUGAAAGUCCGGGGCUCAACUCCGGAUCUGCGGUGGGUACGGGCAGACUAGAGUGAUGUAGGGGAGACUGGAAUUCCUGGUGUAGCGGUGAAAUGCGCAGAUAUCAGGAGGAACACCGAUGGCGAAGGCAGGUCUCUGGGCAUUAACUGACGCUGAGGAGCGAAAGCAUGGGGAGCGAACAGG